RNAcentral lists this ribosomal RNA (603 nucleotides) under Triticum aestivum (bread wheat). RNAcentral describes it as "partial small subunit ribosomal RNA". The record is from RNAcentral. Lineage: Eukaryota; Viridiplantae; Streptophyta; Magnoliopsida; Poales; Poaceae.
AUGGUUGUGCGCAAGCCGGCGCACCUCUUCCUCGACGAGCUCAACAUCGAGUACGACGAGCAGGAGGACUACGUGGUCAUCAAGCAUGCCGCGCUCUUCACCUCCACCGUGCUGAGCCGCCUCCUCGCACGGCCCAACGUGAAGCUCUUCAACGGCGUUGUCGUGGAAGACCUGCUCGUCAAAGAGCACCGCGUCGCCGGCGUGGUCACCAACUGGGCGCUCGGGUCGACGAACCAGGCACAAUCCCACAUGGACGCCAACGUCAUGGAAGCCAAGAUCGUCGUAAGCUCAUGUGGCCACGAGGGGCUGUUCAGUGCCAACGGGAAGGGAGUCAAACGGCUCGAGGACAUGGGAAUGAUCAAGACGGUGCCCGGAAUGGAGGCGCUUGACACCAACAUGUCCGAGGAUGCGAUUGUCCGCUUAACCCGCGAGGUCGUCCCCGGCAUGAUCGUCGCCAGUGUUGAGGUCGCCGAGAUCGACGGGCCCCAGAGGAUGUGCCCAACGUUCGGCGCCACGAUUAUCUCCGGCCAGAAGGCAGCGCACCUGGCACUCAGGGCGCUCGGCCGUCCGAACGGCAUCGACCCGGAGACGGCCCGAGCGUGA